UUUUGUCUUGUAAAUGGAAUGAUGGAGAUUUAAACCUCUUCCAGAGUAUCAAUUGGAGGGCAAGUCUGGUGCCAGCAGCCGCGGUAAUUCCAGCUCCAAUAGCGUAUAUUAAACUUGUUGCAGUUAAAAAGCUCGUAGUUGAAUUUCUGCCGUUUUUUAUUAGUUUCCUUACGGUAAAUUAUUAUAAAUCGGCAUUUGUCGUUAAAAGUAUUAAAAUAUUUUUAUCGAUAAUGUUACUUUGAGAAAAUUAGAGUGCUUAAAGCAGGCCUAGCCUUGAAUAAUUUAGCAUGGAAUAACAUAGUAGGACUUUGGUUCUAUUUUGUUGGUUUUAGGAACCAAAGUAAUGGUUAAUAGGAACAGUUGGGGGCAUUCGUAUUUAACUGUCAGAGGUGAAAUUCUUAGAUUUGUUAAAGACGAACUAC
Molecule: ribosomal RNA, 422 nt
Filed under: Theileria sp.
Lineage: Eukaryota; Apicomplexa; Aconoidasida; Piroplasmida; Theileriidae
Description: SSU rRNA
Rfam family: Eukaryotic small subunit ribosomal RNA
Source: RNAcentral